Misgurnus anguillicaudatus (oriental weatherfish) is the source of this 354-nucleotide long non-coding RNA. RefSeq lists it as uncharacterized. Lineage: Eukaryota; Metazoa; Chordata; Actinopteri; Cypriniformes; Cobitidae. The record is from RefSeq and is a predicted model, not a curated record.
CUUGGCCUUCAGUUCACGUGCAGCAAGAGGGGGAGCUCCUCGCAGAACACUGACGUCUCGUGCCCUUUGCAUCUCUGCAAUGCUGUCACACUACAUGCAGUGCAUAAAGAGAGGCUUUAUCACUUUGCUGGCAGGCACAGAGCCACUUACUUAUGGUGAGCCACAGCUCUGCUGGACAGCACAACAAGAGUGAAGAUGGCAAAGGCAGCACUGUGGAUCGAGUGAGCAGCAAUAGCAAACCCGGUCCAUUCUACAACCUCACCCAAGAAGUUUGCUCCUGACACAAACUUAAACAUGCCUCCUGUAAAAAUAAAACCUAAUGAACUCAUCCAGGUUGAGAACAAAAAAGAGGGU